ACAGGGUGCCAUAUCACCCUGCAGCCCAAGACUGGUUGCUCAUUGACGCUAAGCAGGGUUGAGCUGGUCAGUACCUGGAUGGGAGACCUCCUGGGAAAACUAGGUUGCUGCUGGAA
This 116-nucleotide ribosomal RNA is filed under the name Sinocyclocheilus rhinocerous. Lineage: Eukaryota; Metazoa; Chordata; Actinopteri; Cypriniformes; Cyprinidae. The record is from RNAcentral.